Molecule: ribosomal RNA, 493 nt
Filed under: uncultured bacterium
Lineage: Bacteria
Description: bacterial SSU rRNA
Rfam family: Bacterial small subunit ribosomal RNA
Source: RNAcentral
GACGAACGCUGGCGGCGUGCCUAACACAUGCAAGUCGAACGGGGAAAGAACGCUGAAUUGAUGGUAGCUUGCUACCGGAUUUUCUUGUUUUUCCUAGUGGCGGACGGGUGAGUAACGCGUGAGUAACCUGCCUUACAGAGGGGGACAACAGUUGGAAACGACUGCUAAUACCGCAUAACGUAGCGAGAGGGCAUCCUCUUGUUACCAAAGGAGCAAUCCGCUGUAAGAUGGACUCGCGUCCAAUUAGAUAGUUGGUGGGGUAACGGCCCGACCAAGUCGACGAUUGGUAGCCGGACUGAGAGGUUGAACGGCCACAUUGGGACUGAGACACGGCCCAGACUCCUACGGGAGGCAGCAGUGGGGGAUAUUGCACAAUGGGGGAAACCCUGAUGCAGCAACGCCGCGUGAAGGAAGAAGGUCUUCGGAUUGAAACUUCUGUUUUAGUGAAGAACAAAUGACGGUAGCUAAAGNGGAAGCCACGGCUAACUACGUG